CUGGGAUAACUCCGGGAAACCGGGGCUAAUACCGGAUAACAUUUUGAACCGCAUGGUUCGAAAUUGAAAGGCGGCUUCGGCUGUCACUUAUGGAUGGACCCGCGUCGCAUUAGCUAGUUGGUGAGGUAACGGCUCACCAAGGCAACGAUGCGUAGCCGACCUGAGAGGGUGAUCGGCCACACUGGGACUGAGACACGGCCCAGACUCCUACGGGAGGCAGCAGUAGGGAAUCUUCCGCAAUGGACGAAAGUCUGACGGAGCAACGCCGCGUGAGUGAUGAAGGCUCUCGCGUCGCAAAACUCUGUUGUUAGGGAAGAACAAGUGCUAGUUGAAUAAGCUGGCACCUUGACGGUACCUAACCAGAAAGCCACGGCUAACUACGUGCCAGCAGCCGCGGUAAUACGUAGGUGGCAAGCGUUAUCCGGAAUUAUUGGGCGUAAAGCGCGCGCAGGUGGUUUCUUAAGUCUGAUGUGAAAGCCCACGGCUCAACCGUGGAGGGUCAUUGGAAACUGGGAGACUUGAGUGCAGAAG
Molecule: ribosomal RNA, 531 nt
Filed under: Bacillus thuringiensis
Lineage: Bacteria; Bacillati; Bacillota; Bacilli; Caryophanales; Bacillaceae
Description: bacterial SSU rRNA
Rfam family: Bacterial small subunit ribosomal RNA
Source: RNAcentral